Molecule: ribosomal RNA, 866 nt
Filed under: uncultured Bathyarchaeota archaeon
Lineage: Archaea; Thermoproteati; Candidatus Bathyarchaeota
Description: bacterial SSU rRNA
Rfam family: Archaeal small subunit ribosomal RNA
Source: RNAcentral
UAAGCUAUGGUAGAGACGCGGCAUACGGCUCAGUAACACGUGGCUAACCUACUCUUAGGACGGAGACAACCCCGGGAAUCUGGGGCUAAUACCUGAUAGGUGAGGACUCCUGGAAUGGAUCCUCGCUGAAAGGACGCCUAGACCAUGCUUCUAGGUGUUGCCCAAGGAUGGAGCCGCGGCCGAUCAGGUUGUUGGUGAGGUAACGGCUCACCAAGCCUUUAACCGGUACGGGCCGUGAGAGCGGGAGCCCGGAGAUGGGUACUGAGACAAGGACCCAGGCCCUACGGGGCGCAGCAGUCGCGAAAACUCCGCAAUACGCGAAAGCGUGACGGGGCUAUCCCGAGUGCCGUCCGCUGAGGAUGGCUUUUCCCUAGUGUAUAAAGCUGGGGGAAUAAGGAGAGGGCAAGCCUGGUGUCAGCCGCCGCGGUAAUACCAGCUCUCCGAGUGGUGGGGAUGCUUAUUGGGCCUAAAGCAUUCGUAGCCGGUUGGGCAAGUCCUCUGUUAAAUCCAGCGAUUCAAUCGUUGGACUGCAGGGGAUACUGUCCGGCUAGGGGGCGGAAGAGGUCGACGGUAUUCUCGGGGUAGGGGUGAAAUCCUAUAAUCCCGGGAGGACCACCAGUGGCGAAGGCUGUCGGCUAGAACGCGCCCGACGGUGAGGGAUGAAAGCUGGGGGAGCGAACCGGAUUAGAUACCCGGGUAGUCCCAGCUGUAAACGAUGCAGGCUAGGUGUUGGCGCGGCUACGUGCCGCUCCAGUGCCGCAAGGAAGCCGUUAAGCCUGCCGCCUGGGAAGUACGGCCGCAAGGCUGAAACUUAAAGGAAUUGGCGGGGGAGCACCACAAGGGGUGAAGCUUGCGGUUUAAUUGGA